RNAcentral lists this long non-coding RNA (277 nucleotides) under Elaeis guineensis (African oil palm). RNAcentral's name for it is "long non-coding RNA (EGUI_LNC069248)". Lineage: Eukaryota; Viridiplantae; Streptophyta; Magnoliopsida; Arecales; Arecaceae. The record is from RNAcentral.
CUGCCAUGCUGGAAGAUCCAUCCAUAAAGAGGGUCCAAAAGCAAUCGGAGGGACUGGCUUCUUCGUCGGGGGAGUUCGGUUGAGACCUCGGGCUGUCAACUCCACUUUGCUCAGGUUCGGCCUCCUCUGGGAUGGUGCACUCUACAAUGAAAUCUGCCAAUAUUUGGGCCUUUAUUGCCGGUCUAGGUCUGUAGUUGAUAUCGAAUUCCGUGAGCUCGAUCGCCCAUUUUGCCAUCCUUCUGGAGGUAUCAACUCGGUGUAAGACCGCCUUGAUCGG